GAUGAGGGAAAAGGAGAUGACCCUGAUGAUGAGGAUGACAAUCUACUGGAUGAUGAUCUAGGAGGGUCAAAUGGAGCGGAGGAAGAUCAGGAUCGAGGCAAGGAGGACAAGGCAAAAGACAAAGAAGAGGAAGACACUAACAAAAAGCAGACACCAAGUAAAACCCAAGGUACCUCGCAAAAAACAAGUUUAGUGAGAAGAGCUCUCCUGCUGUUUGAUGAAAAUCUGGAAAAGGGUCUAGUGGAAGGGGAAAAGGAUAUUCCUACGUGUGUGAAUAUGUUGCAAGCUAUGGAACUUAAUAAGUCCGAUGAGUAAAAGGAGACCCAUGAUAUGAUAGAUGAGGACGAAUAAAUGAUAUCACUACCGGAGGAAUGGACAUACUUAGGUGUUAGUUUGUUUGAAAUAGAGGGAGCAAGUCAAGAUCAAGAGAUCUCUCAAGCCCAAAACGGCGAUGAUGAUGCUAGCAUUCAAGAAGACAAAAACACCAAGGGGCAGUAAGAAGCUGAAGAUGACUUAAAAAAGAAGAAGAAAUUGGGUCCUGCAGUUGUGGAAAGGAAAAGCAAAAGAAAUAUUGAUGACGGCAGGUCCAUACUGGAAAAGGCCCAAGACAGCAAGAGGAAGUGGAAUGAAGAAGUACUUACAGGUAACAUAAAACAGAAACCUGUGCAUGUUUCCUUAUUUAAGUAAUACUGCUUCUGUUAUAGGAAUAGUAAAUACGGAUGGAAAUUCUAUUAGUAGUGAUAUAAUUAGGGGUUACAAGUAAUUGAGGAGCAAAGAAACAAAGGUUUUAGUGACAGUUGUAAUCAGGGUGGAUGUAACCCAGUAGAUAAAGGAGCCAGUGUAGGGGAGGAUAGUAGAUCUGAUUUACUAGAACUAAAAGUACAAAUAAUUAUAGACAGAGUAAGGGAAGCAAAGAGAAAUAGGAAAAAAAAUCCAAAUGAUAGGCUUAUUUUGGAAUAUUAGAGGCCUGGGAAAAAUAGGAAG
RNAcentral lists this long non-coding RNA (984 nucleotides) under Setaria viridis. Its description in RNAcentral is "long non-coding RNA (SVIR_LNC008283)". The record is from RNAcentral. Lineage: Eukaryota; Viridiplantae; Streptophyta; Magnoliopsida; Poales; Poaceae.